RNAcentral lists this ribosomal RNA (233 nucleotides) under uncultured bacterium. Its description in RNAcentral is "partial 16S ribosomal RNA". It matches the Rfam family "Bacterial small subunit ribosomal RNA", at positions 524 to 755 of the family's 1533-position model. The record is from RNAcentral.
UACAGAGGGGGCGAGGCGUUAUUCGGAAUUAUUGGGCGUAAAGGGCGCGUAGGCGGCUUCGCAAGUGGUGGGUGAAAUCCCUCGGCUUAACCGAGGAACUGCCCUCCAAACUGCGUUGCUUGAGUCCGGGAGAGGUGAGUGGAAUUCCCAGUGUAGCGGUGAAAUGCGUAGAUAUUGGGAGGAACACCAGUGGCGAAGGCGGCUCACUGGACCGGAACUGACGCUGAGGCGCG